UACAGAGGUCCCGAGCGUUGUUCGGAUUUAUUGGGCGUAAAGGGUGCGUAGGCGGCGGAGUAAGUUGGGUGUGAAAUCCCGGGGGCUCAACCUCGGAAUGGCAUUCAAUACUGCUUCGCUAGAGUACUGGAGAGGAGGCUGGAAUUUACGGUGUAGCAGUGAAAUGCGUAGAUAUCGUAAGGAAGGCCGGUGGCGAAAGCGAGCCUCUGGACAGUUACUGACGCUGAUGCACGAAGGUCAGGGGAGCAAACAGG
RNAcentral lists this ribosomal RNA (254 nucleotides) under uncultured bacterium. RNAcentral's name for it is "partial 16S ribosomal RNA". It matches the Rfam family "Bacterial small subunit ribosomal RNA", at positions 524 to 776 of the family's 1533-position model. The record is from RNAcentral.